RNAcentral lists this ribosomal RNA (1350 nucleotides) under 'Callistephus chinensis' aster yellows phytoplasma. RNAcentral describes it as "bacterial SSU rRNA". It matches the Rfam family "Bacterial small subunit ribosomal RNA", at positions 90 to 1440 of the family's 1533-position model. The record is from RNAcentral. Lineage: Bacteria; Bacillati; Mycoplasmatota; Mollicutes; Acholeplasmatales; Acholeplasmataceae.
CUUUAGUGGCGAACGGGUGAGUAACGCGUAAGCAAUCUGCCCCUAAGACGAGGAUAACAGUUGGAAACGACUGCUAAGACUGGAUAGGAGACAAGAAGGCAUCUUCUUGUUUUUAAAAGACCUAGCAAUAGGUAUGCUUAGGGAGGAGCUUGCGUCACAUUAGUUAGUUGGUGGGGUAAAGGCCUACCAAGACUAUGAUGUGUAGCCGGGCUGAGAGGUUGAACGGCCACAUUGGGACUGAGACACGGCCCAAACUCCUACGGGAGGCAGCAGUAGGGAAUUUUCGGCAAUGGAGGAAACUCUGACCGAGCAACGCCGCGUGAACGAUGAAGUAUUUCGGUACGUAAAGUUCUUUUAUUAGGGAAGAAUAAAUGAUGGAAAAAUCAUUCUGACGGUACCUAAUGAAUAAGCCCCGGCUAACUAUGUGCCAGCAGCCGCGGUAAUACAUAGGGGGCAAGCGUUAUCCGGAAUUAUUGGGCGUAAAGGGUGCGUAGGCGGUUAAAUAAGUUUAUGGUCUAAGUGCAAUGCUCAACAUUGUGAUGCUAUAAAAACUGUUUAGCUAGAGUAAGAUAGAGGCAAGUGGAAUUCCAUGUGUAGUGGUAAAAUGCGUAAAUAUAUGGAGGAACACCAGUAGCGAAGGCGGCUUGCUGGGUCUUUACUGACGCUGAGGCACGAAAGCGUGGGGAGCAAACAGGAUUAGAUACCCUGGUAGUCCACGCCGUAAACGAUGAGUACUAAACGUUGGGUAAAACCAGUGUUGAAGUUAACACAUUAAGUACUCCGCCUGAGUAGUACGUACGCAAGUAUGAAACUUAAAGGAAUUGACGGGACUCCGCACAAGCGGAGGAUCAUGUUGUUUAAUUCGAAGGUACCCGAAAAACCUCACCAGGUCUUGACAUGCUUCUGCAAAGCUGUAGAAACACAGUGGAGGUUAUCAGUUGCACAGGUGGUGCAUGGUUGUCGUCAGCUCGUGUCGUGAGAUGUUGGGUUAAGUCCCGCAACGAGCGCAACCCUUAUUGUUAGUUACCAGCACGUAAUGGUGGGGACUUUAGCAAGACUGCCAGUGAUAAAUUGGAGGAAGGUGGGGACGACGUCAAAUCAUCAUGCCCCUUAUGACCUGGGCUACAAACGUGAUACAAUGGCUGUUACAAAGGGUAGCUGAAGCGCAAGUUUUUGGCGAAUCUCAAAAAAACAGUCUCAGUUCGGAUUGAAGUCUGCAACUCGACUUCAUGAAGUUGGAAUCGCUAGUAAUCGCGAAUCAGCAUGUCGCGGUGAAUACGUUCUCGGGGUUUGUACACACCGCCCGUCAAACCACGAAAGUUGGUAAUACCCAAAGCCGGUGGCCUAACU